GAGCCGGUAGCUCAGUUGGUAGAGCACUGCCCUUUUAAGGCAGGUGUCGAGAGUUCGAGACUCUCCCGGCUCA
This 73-nucleotide transfer RNA is filed under the name Candidatus Omnitrophota bacterium. RNAcentral's name for it is "Candidatus Omnitrophica bacterium (groundwater metagenome) tRNA-Lys". It matches the Rfam family "tRNA". Rfam says of the family: Transfer RNA (tRNA) molecules are approximately 80 nucleotides in length. The record is from RNAcentral. Lineage: Bacteria; Pseudomonadati; Candidatus Omnitrophota.